GGAGUUAGUGAUCGAAGGUCGGU
Molecule: non-coding RNA, 23 nt
Filed under: Arabidopsis thaliana (thale cress)
Lineage: Eukaryota; Viridiplantae; Streptophyta; Magnoliopsida; Brassicales; Brassicaceae
Source: RNAcentral